This 492-nucleotide ribosomal RNA is filed under the name uncultured bacterium. Its description in RNAcentral is "partial 16S ribosomal RNA". It matches the Rfam family "Bacterial small subunit ribosomal RNA", at positions 29 to 507 of the family's 1533-position model. The record is from RNAcentral.
AGUGAACGCUGGCGGUAGGCCUAACACAUGCAAGUCGAACGGCAGCACAGUAAGAGCUUGCUCUUACGGGUGGCGAGUGGCGGACGGGUGAGGAAUACAUCGGAAUCUACUUUUUCGUGGGGGAUAACGUAGGGAAACUUACGCUAAUACCGCAUACGACCUACGGGUGAAAGCAGGGGAUCUUCGGACCUUGCGCGAUUGAAUGAGCCGAUGUCGGAUUAGCUAGUUGGCGGGGUAAAGGCCCACCAAGGCGACGAUCCGUAGCUGGUCUGAGAGGAUGAUCAGCCACACUGGAACUGAGACACGGUCCAGACUCCUACGGGAGGCAGCAGUGGGGAAUAUUGGACAAAGGGCGCAAACCUGAUCUAGCCAUACCGCGUGGGUGAAGAAGGCCUUCGGGUUGUAAAGCCCUUUUGUUGGGAAAGAAAAGCAGCAGGUUAAUACCCCGCUGUUCUGACGGUACCCAAAGAAUAAGCACCGGCUAACUUCGUG